GCGCAUACGAGGCGGUCAUGCCGGAUGAGAAGGCCAAUAUCUUCAAAGUCCGAUACUUGCACGGAAGGCAUGGACGUAGAUGCGGCGGGCAUAAGCGGGAAGGUGGGUGC
Non-coding RNA from Nitrospina sp., 110 nucleotides. Lineage: Bacteria; Pseudomonadati; Nitrospinota; Nitrospinia; Nitrospinales; Nitrospinaceae. The record is from Rfam.